Xiphias gladius (swordfish) is the source of this 454-nucleotide long non-coding RNA. RefSeq lists it as uncharacterized. The transcript is spliced from 2 exons. Lineage: Eukaryota; Metazoa; Chordata; Actinopteri; Istiophoriformes; Xiphiidae. The record is from RefSeq and is a predicted model, not a curated record.
CAAGCUGGAGCCUGAAUCGAACGCACCCUCCCCAAUGGCGCUGUGUAAUUAGACCUGGCGUCUCACCUGGAGCUGGACAUACACAUUCACCUGAAGAGUGGCUAACUGCGGCUACGCGUCGUGUACUGUCCCAUAAACAAGAGCCAACCUGGCCGUCAGCAGUCCAACAUCCCCGUACGACGCCUUUGAAGAUGAAAUGACCCGGUAGGGAGACACUGACUGAGCCAGGGAAGAAAAAGUACUACUUUCAAUCACAAUGGCUAGCGCAGUAACCGAGCAGGAGGGGCACCGAAACAGCCUAAUGAUCAUUCUGCACUCGCAAAAAUGGGACCAAGUGAAAUUUUAACUCUCAAACAAUGGUCGCAUAUGCCACCACUUUGUUUGGAGUUUGGAGCCCUGAGUGUUUGUCAUCUGUAACUGUCUUAAAUAAUUAAAAUCACUAUGCUCUGUAGUA